GCCUACGGGAACCUGGGCGCCGUGCUCAGCUCCCAGGGCCGGGUGGACGAGGCGGAGAAGGCCUUCCGGCUGGCCCUGCAGCAUAGGCCCAACAUGGCCGACGUCCACUACAACCUGGGCGUGCUGCUGCAGGGCCGCGAGCGCUACGAGGAGGCGAUGCAGAGCCUGCGGCUGGCCAUCCAGUACCGACCCACGCUGGCAGUGGCUCACCUGCACCUGGCGCAGCUGCUGGAGCGGCAGGGCCGCUGCGCGGAGGCGGAGGAGCAGUACCGCCGCUGCUGGGAGGCGGACGGGUCGCGGGUUCGAGACCCGC
Molecule: long non-coding RNA, 313 nt
Organism: Schistocerca piceifrons (Central American locust)
Lineage: Eukaryota; Metazoa; Arthropoda; Insecta; Orthoptera; Acrididae
Exons: 3
Source: RefSeq, a predicted model, not a curated record